CCUACGGGCGGCAGCAGUGAGGAAUAUUGGUCAAUGGACGAGAGUCUGAACCAGCCAAGUAGCGUGAAGGAUGACUGCCCUAUGGGUUGUAAACUUCUUUUAUAUGGGAAUAAAAUGUUCCACGUGUGGGAUUUUGUAUGUACCAUAUGAAUAAGGAUCGGCUAACUCCGGGCCAGCAGCCGCGGUAAUACGGAGGAACAGAGCGUUAUCCGGAUUUAUUGGGGUUAAAGGGAGCGUAGGUGGCUUGUUAAGUCAGUUGUGAAAGUUUGCGGCUCAACCGUAAAAUUGCAUUUGAAACUGGCAGUCUUGAGUACAGUAGAGGUGGGCGGAAUGCGUGGUGUAGCGGUGAAAUGCUUAGAUAUCACGAAGAACUCCGAUUGCGAAGGCAGUUCACUGGACUGCAACUGACACUGAGGCUCGAAAGUGUGGGUAUCAAACAGGAUUAGAUACCCGGGUAGUC
Molecule: ribosomal RNA, 460 nt
Filed under: uncultured bacterium
Lineage: Bacteria
Description: partial 16S ribosomal RNA
Rfam family: Bacterial small subunit ribosomal RNA
Source: RNAcentral